This 254-nucleotide ribosomal RNA is filed under the name uncultured bacterium. RNAcentral's name for it is "partial 16S ribosomal RNA". It matches the Rfam family "Bacterial small subunit ribosomal RNA", at positions 524 to 776 of the family's 1533-position model. The record is from RNAcentral.
UACGUAGGGCGCAAGCGUUGUCCGGAAUUAUUGGGCGUAAAGAGCUCGUAGGCGGUCUGUCGCGUCGGAUGUGAAAGCCCGGGGCUUAACCCCGGGUCUGCAUUCGAUACGGGGCAGACUAGAGUGUGGUAGGGGAGAUCGGAAUUCCUGGUGUAGCGGUGAAAUGCGCAGAUAUCAGGAGGAACACCGGUGGCGAAGGCGGAUCUCUGGGCCAUUACUGACGCUGAGGAGCGAAAGCGUGGGGAGCGAACAGG